UUACACAUACCCCCAUAUGACGUCUCGAUUUGAUUGUCACAAACAAAUUUAAACGCAAACUGAGUUAAUGUGGGUAAAUUUUUAGCCGCAUCCAAGUUGGUGGGUAUCCAAGAUUCGACCCGACCGACCUUAAGCACGUUUUUACUUAUUCUAGUUGUUGUCUUCGGCAUUGAUGACAAAACGAUUUUGUGCAAAUGUCAUUCGUAAACUGACAGGUGGUCUGCAGCGGUGAAGUGACCGGCAAAUAAAAUACAAAACACACAACAAGACAUGGCUUACGAAUAUCGCAAUUCGUAUAAUGCAAACGAUGCACAGAACGUUUUCAUUAACAACAGCAGCCAGAAAACAGAAGGAUGAUAUUUUCAACCAUUGAAUGAGUGAGCAGAAGAUGCAGAUUAAACAGACAGAUAGGAUCCUGCCAGGGUGCUAGCAAAUUAAUUAAAAAAGGGGUUAACAAUUUAAAGAGAUGACUGAUAAUGGACUGCACGUAACAAAAAUACCAAAAACACAAUUUACAUGCGUGUGUAUCAAAUUAAGCUGUUGUCUGCGAUACAGAUUUCGAAUUAUGAUACGAAAAGGAUAAAGGCUGUGUGCAAAGGAAUGAAAUAAAAAAAAAGGCAAAUAACAAUGGCGCUGAGUUUGGGCAGCCCGAAGGGCCUACUACAAAGGAUGUUCCAUCAAGCGUUUGUAAUUUAGUACGGCCCUUAUUAAAAUCGCCUAACUAAAUUGGUGGUGUUAUGUGGCUAUGAUUACAAUGAAACAAGUAAAAACGUGUCAAGUUCAGCCUGGGCGAAUCUUGGAUACCCACCACCAUGGAUUCCGCUAAAAAUGUACCCUUAUUAACUGGAGUUUGUAUUUGAAUUAUUUUAAAGCAAUCAAAUCGGGAAUUUAUUGAGGUCUCAAGAAGUCAUAUCGGUAUAUCGGUACAUAGGACUGGCACUUAUGUUGAAGAAAUCGUUCAGCGGACAUGACAAAAUAUUAUCCAUAUUGGAGUAUAUUUAAUAUCUGGCUGUAAUAAAUGGUUCUAUCUGGG
Stomoxys calcitrans (stable fly) is the source of this 1033-nucleotide long non-coding RNA. RefSeq lists it as uncharacterized. The record is from RefSeq and is a predicted model, not a curated record. The transcript is spliced from 3 exons. NCBI's taxonomy places the organism in Eukaryota, Metazoa, Arthropoda, Insecta, Diptera, Muscidae.